CCUACGGGAGGCAGCAGUGGGGAAUAUUGCACAAUGGGGGAAACCCUGAUGCAGCGACGCCGCGUGAGUGAAGAAGUAUCUCGGUACGUAAAGCUCUAUCAGCAGGGAAGAAAAUGACGGUACCUGACUAAGAAGCCCCGGCUAACUACGUGCCAGCAGCCGCGGUAAUACGUAGGGGGCAAGCGUUAUCCGGAUUUACGGGGUGUAAAGGGAGCGUAGACGGCAGCACAAGUCUGGAGUGAAAUCCCGGGGCUUAACCACGGAACUGCUUUGGAAACUGUGAGGCUGGAGUGCAGGUGAGGUAGGCGGAAUGCGUGGUGUAGCGGUGAAAUGCGUAGAUAUUAGGAGGAACACCGGUGGCGAAGGCGGCUUACUGGACUGUAACUGACGUUGAGGCUCGAAAGCGUGGGGAGCAAACAGGAUUAGAUACCCCUGUAGUC
Molecule: ribosomal RNA, 440 nt
Filed under: uncultured bacterium
Lineage: Bacteria
Description: partial 16S ribosomal RNA
Rfam family: Bacterial small subunit ribosomal RNA
Source: RNAcentral